GCAACCUGCCUUUAUCUUGGGAAUGGCCUUUCAAAAGGAAGAUUAAUGCCCCAUAAUAUUUAGAAUGGCAUCAUUUUAAAUUGGAAACUCCCGUGGAUAAAGAUGGGCACGCACACGAUUAGAUAGUUGGUAGGGUAACGGCCUACCGAGUCAACGAUCCUUAAGGGGCCUGAGAGGGUGAUCCCCCACCCUGGUACUGAGACACGGACCAGACUCCUACGGGAGGCAGCAGGGAGGAAUAUUGAACAAUGGGUGAGAGCCUGAUCCAUCCAUCCCGCGUGAAGGACGACGGCCCUAUGGGUUGUAAACUUCUUUUGUAUAGGGAUAAACCUACUCUCGUGAGAGUAGCUGAAGGUACUAUACAAAUAAGCACCGGCUAACUCCGUGCCAGCAGCCGCGGUAAUACGGAGGGUGCAAGCGUUAUCCGGAUUUAUUGGGUUUAAAGGGUCCGUAGGCUGAUUUGUAAGUCAGUGGUGAAAUCUCACAGCUUAACUGUGAAACUGCCAUUGAUACUGCAAGUCUUGAGUGUUGUUGAAGUAGCUGGAAUAAG
RNAcentral lists this ribosomal RNA (550 nucleotides) under Chryseobacterium vrystaatense. RNAcentral describes it as "bacterial SSU rRNA". It matches the Rfam family "Bacterial small subunit ribosomal RNA", at positions 121 to 670 of the family's 1533-position model. The record is from RNAcentral. Lineage: Bacteria; Pseudomonadati; Bacteroidota; Flavobacteriia; Flavobacteriales; Weeksellaceae.